RNAcentral lists this ribosomal RNA (721 nucleotides) under Escherichia coli. RNAcentral's name for it is "bacterial SSU rRNA". It matches the Rfam family "Bacterial small subunit ribosomal RNA", at positions 20 to 730 of the family's 1533-position model. Lineage: Bacteria; Pseudomonadati; Pseudomonadota; Gammaproteobacteria; Enterobacterales; Enterobacteriaceae. The record is from RNAcentral.
UGGCUCAGAUUGAACGCUGGCGGCAGGCCUAACACAUGCAAGUCGAACGGUAACAGGAAGAAGCUUGCUUCUUUGCUGACGAGUGGCGGACGGGUGAGUAAUGUCUGGGAAACUGCCUGAUGGAGGGGGAUAACUACUGGAAACGGUAGCUAAUACCGCAUAACGUCGCAAGACCAAAGAGGGGGACCUUCGGGCCUCUUGCCAUCGGAUGUGCCCAGAUGGGAUUAGCUAGUAGGUGGGGUAACGGCUCACCUAGGCGACGAUCCCUAGCUGGUCUGAGAGGAUGACCAGCCACACUGGAACUGAGACACGGUCCAGACUCCUACGGGAGGCAGCAGUGGGGAAUAUUGCACAAUGGGCGCAAGCCUGAUGCAGCCAUGCCGCGUGUAUGAAGAAGGCCUUCGGGUUGUAAAGUACUUUCAGCGGGGAGGAAGGGAGUAAAGUUAAUACCUUUGCUCAUUGACGUUACCCGCAGAAGAAGCACCGGCUAACUCCGUGCCAGCAGCCGCGGUAAUACGGAGGGUGCAAGCGUUAAUCGGAAUUACUGGGCGUAAAGCGCACGCAGGCGGUUUGUUAAGUCAGAUGUGAAAUCCCCGGGCUCAACCUGGGAACUGCAUCUGAUACUGGCAAGCUUGAGUCUCGUAGAGGGGGGUAGAAUUCCAGGUGUAGCGGUGAAAUGCGUAGAGAUCUGGAGGAAUACCGGUGGCGAAGGCGGCCCCCU